This 220-nucleotide unclassified non-coding RNA is filed under the name uncultured Solirubrobacterales bacterium. RNAcentral's name for it is "contains 16S-23S intergenic spacer region". It matches the Rfam family "Bacterial small subunit ribosomal RNA", at positions 976 to 1201 of the family's 1533-position model. Lineage: Bacteria; Bacillati; Actinomycetota; Thermoleophilia; Solirubrobacterales. The record is from RNAcentral.
UGGGCUUGACAUGUAAAUGACAGCCGUGGAAACACGGACUUCCUUCGGGACACUUUCACAGGUGGUGCAUGGCUGUCGUCAGCUCGUGUCGUGAGAUGUUGGGUUAAGUCCCGCAACGAGCGCAACCCCCGUCCCAUGUUGCCAGCAUUUAGUUGGGGACUCAUGGGAGACUGCCGGUGACAAACCGGAGGAAGGUGGGGAUGACGUCUCCUCAUGCGUU